CCUAUCUGUUGUGGGCGCAGGAUACUUGAGAGGAGUUGCUUCUAGUACGAGAGGACCGAAGUGAACGAACCAAUGGUGUACCGGUUGUACUGCCAAGUGCAUAGCCGGGUAGCUAAGUUCGGAAAGGAUAAGCGUUGAAAGCAUCUAAACGCCAAGCCUCCCUCAAGAUAAGGUAUCCCAAUUAGACACCACGAAGACUACGUGGUAGAUAGGUUGGAUGUGUAAGCGUAGUAAUACGUUGAGCUAACCAAUACUAAUAAGUCGAUUGGCUUGACCAA
RNAcentral lists this non-coding RNA (278 nucleotides) under Chlamydiales bacterium 38-26. Its description in RNAcentral is "partial 23S ribosomal RNA". It matches the Rfam family "Bacterial large subunit ribosomal RNA", at positions 2637 to 2925 of the family's 2925-position model. Lineage: Bacteria; Pseudomonadati; Chlamydiota; Chlamydiia; Chlamydiales. The record is from RNAcentral.